Molecule: long non-coding RNA, 552 nt
Filed under: Homo sapiens (human)
Lineage: Eukaryota; Metazoa; Chordata; Mammalia; Primates; Hominidae
Description: HSALNT0359936
Source: RNAcentral
AGGAUGAAUCCUAAGGAAGUUAAUAGCUGAAGGCUGCAGCUACUAGAUUCCAGAGAGUGGCCUGGGGCACAAGAUACUCAACCAGAGCAGACAGUGUCAGCCUCUGUCAUGGAAAGCACAGAGCUUCCUAUCCUACAUGAUUGUCUAUUGUAAUGCCAAAUUACAAGCAAUGGAGUCUCACUGUGUUGCCCAGGCUGGAGUGCUGUGGCAUGAUCUCAGCUCACUGCCAUCUCUGCCUCUUGAGUUCAAGCGAUUCUCCUGCCUCAGCUUCCCAAGUAGCUGGGAUUACAGGCGCACGCCACCACGCCCCGCUAGUUUUUGUAUUUUCAGUAGAGACGGGGUUUCACCAUGUUGGCCAGACUGGUCUGUAACUCCAGACUUCAGGUGAUCUGCCCACCUUGGCCUCCCAAAGUGCUGGGAUUACAGGCCUGAGCCACCAUGCCCAGCCAAUUUCCAUAUAUUUUUUAUACUGGGAUUUCAGAGAGUAAUUUCCUCUUCAUGUGUAACCAGUUAUGUGAAUUAAAACAGAUUCAGCCUUCUUUUACGGUUGUG